UACGUAUGGAGCAAGCGUUAUCCGGAUUUACUGGGUGUAAAGGGAGCGUAGACGGUGCGGCAAGUCUGAUGUGAAAGGCGGGGGCUCAACCCCCGAACUGCAUUGGAAACUGCCGUGCUGGAGUGUCGGAGGGGUAAGCGGAAUUCCUAGUGUAGCGGUGAAAUGCGUAGAUAUUAGGAGGAACACCGGCGGCGAAGGCGGCUUACUGGACGAUCACUGACGUUGAGGCUCGAAAGCGUGGGGAGCAAAC
Molecule: ribosomal RNA, 250 nt
Filed under: uncultured prokaryote
Description: partial 16S ribosomal RNA
Rfam family: Bacterial small subunit ribosomal RNA
Source: RNAcentral